This 795-nucleotide ribosomal RNA is filed under the name bacterium 159_xplvp212. Its description in RNAcentral is "bacterial SSU rRNA". It matches the Rfam family "Bacterial small subunit ribosomal RNA", at positions 49 to 853 of the family's 1533-position model. The record is from RNAcentral. RNAcentral also lists the same sequence under 1 other name.
CUACACAUGCAAGUCGAACGGUGAAGCCNNAGCUUGCUNNGGUGGAUCAGUGGCGAACGGGUGAGUAACACGUGAGCAAUCUGCCCUUGACUCUGGGAUAAGCGCUGGAAACGGCGUCUAAUACUGGAUAUGAACUGUGGCCGCAUGGUCGGCAGUUGGAAAGAAUUUCGGUCAAGGAUGAGCUCGCGGCCUAUCAGCUUGUUGGUGAGGUAAUGGCUCACCAAGGCGUCGACGGGUAGCCGGCCUGAGAGGGUGACCGGCCACACUGGGACUGAGACACGGCCCAGACUCCUACGGGAGGCAGCAGUGGGGAAUAUUGCACAAUGGGCGCAAGCCUGAUGCAGCAACGCCGCGUGAGGGAUGACGGCCUUCGGGUUGUAAACCUCUUUUAGCAGGGAAGAAGCGAAAGUGACGGUACCUGCAGAAAAAGCACCGGCUAACUACGUGCCAGCAGCCGCGGUAAUACGUAGGGUGCAAGCGUUAUCCGGAAUUAUUGGGCGUAAAGAGCUCGUAGGCGGUUUGUCNCGUCUGCUGUGAAAACUGGAGGCUCAACCUCCAGCCUGCAGUGGGUACGGGCAGACUAGAGUGCGGUAGGGGAGAUUGGAAUUCCUGGUGUAGCGGUGGAAUGCGCAGAUAUCAGGAGGAACACCGAUGGCGAAGGCAGAUCUCUGGGCCGUAACUGACGCUGAGGAGCGAAAGGGUGGGGAGCAAACAGGCUUAGAUACCCUGGUAGUCCACCCCGUAAACGUUGGGAACUAGUUGUGGGGUCCAUUCCACGGAUUCCGUGACGCAGCU